Molecule: ribosomal RNA, 442 nt
Filed under: uncultured bacterium
Lineage: Bacteria
Description: partial 16S ribosomal RNA
Rfam family: Bacterial small subunit ribosomal RNA
Source: RNAcentral
CCUACGGGAGGCAGCAGUGGGGAAUAUUGGGCAAUGGGCGCAAGCCUGACCCAGCAACGCCGCGUGAAGGAAGAAGGCUUUCGGGUUGUAAACUUCUUUUAAGAGGGAAGAGCAGAAGACGGUACCUCUUGAAUAAGCCACGGCUAACUACGUGCCAGCGGCCGCGGUAAUACGUAGGUGGCAAGCGUUGUCCGGAUUUACUGGGUGUAAAGGGCGUGCAGCCGGGAAGACAAGUCAGAUGUGAAAUCCCGGGGCUCAACCGCGGAACUGCAUUUGAAACUGUUUUUCUUGAGUACCGGAGAGGUCAUCGGAAUUCCUGGUGUAGCGGUGAAAUGCGGAGAUAUAAGGAAGAACACCAGUGGCGAAGGCGGAUGACUGGACGGCGACUGACGGUGAGGCGCGAAAGCGUGGGGAGCAAACAGGAUUAGAUACCCCGGUAGUC